RNAcentral lists this long non-coding RNA (205 nucleotides) under Phoenix dactylifera (date palm). Its description in RNAcentral is "long non-coding RNA (PDAC_LNC011192)". Lineage: Eukaryota; Viridiplantae; Streptophyta; Magnoliopsida; Arecales; Arecaceae. The record is from RNAcentral.
GUCAAAAUAAAGAGAAGUUCAACCAUGAAGACCUCUCACAUGUGGAAGAAAUUCAGAGUUCAGAUCCAGUUGAAAUCUGUGACAGAAUGAACAUCUUAUGGUAUUUUGAAGAUUUCGGGAGCUAUAGAAGUCUGAUUAAGUUGAUUCAAAUUUUGUUGGAAAGUAGACAUCCGUAGCUUUUCAAUGACUAUAAGAACAUGAAAUU